UACGGCGAGUGANCGGCAACAGCUCAAAUUUGAAAUCUGGCCCUUACGGGUCCGAGUUGUAAUUUGUAGAGGAUGCUUUUGGCAAGGCGCCGCCCGAGUUCCCUGGAACGGGACGCCACAGAGGGUGAGAGCCCCGUCUGGCUGGCCGCCGAGCCUCUGUAAAGCUCCUUCGACGAGUCGAGUAGUUUGGGAAUGCUGCUCAAAAUGGGAGGUAUAUGUCUUCUAAAGCUAAAUAUUGGCCAGAGACCGAUAGCGCACAAGUAGAGUGAUCGAAAGAUGAAAAGCACCUUGAAAAGAGGGUUAAAUAGUACGUGAAAUUGUUGAAAGGGAAGCGCUUGUGACCAGACUUGGGCGCGGCGGAUCAUCCGGGGUUCUCCCCGGUGCACUUCGCCGCGUCCAGGCCAGCAUCAGUUCGUCGCGGGGGAAAAAGGCUUCGGGAACGUGGCUCCCUCGGGAGUGUUAUAGCCCGUUGCGUAAUACCCUGCGGUGGACUGAGGACCGCGCAUCUGCAAGGAUGCUGGCGUAAUGGUCACCAGCGACCCGUCUUGA
This 549-nucleotide ribosomal RNA is filed under the name Trichoderma sp. RNAcentral describes it as "LSU rRNA". It matches the Rfam family "Eukaryotic large subunit ribosomal RNA", at positions 85 to 657 of the family's 3401-position model. Lineage: Eukaryota; Fungi; Ascomycota; Sordariomycetes; Hypocreales; Hypocreaceae. The record is from RNAcentral.